CCUACGGGAGGCUGCAGUGGGGAAUAUUGGACAAUGGGGGGAACCCUGAUCCAGCCAUGCCGCGUGUGUGAAGAAGGCCCUCGGGUUGUAAAGCACUUUCAGUGAGGAAGAACGCCUGGUGGUUAAUACCCAUCAGGAAAGACAUCACUCACAGAAGAAGCACCGGCUAACUCCGUGCCAGCAGCCGCGGUAAUACGGAGGGUGCGAGCGUUAAUCGGAAUUACUGGGCGUAAAGCGCGCGUAGGUGGCUUGAUAAGCCGGUUGUGAAAGCCCCGGGCUCAACCUGGGAACGGCAUCCGGAACUGUCAAGCUAGAGUGCAGGAGAGGAAGGUAGAAUUCCCGGUGUAGCGGUGAAAUGCGUAGAGAUCGGGAGGAAUACCAGUGGCGAAGGCGGCCUUCUGGACUGACACUGACACUGAGGUGCGAAAGCGUGGGUAGCAAACAGGAUUAAUACCCGUGUAGUC
Molecule: ribosomal RNA, 464 nt
Filed under: Vreelandella stevensii
Lineage: Bacteria; Pseudomonadati; Pseudomonadota; Gammaproteobacteria; Oceanospirillales; Halomonadaceae
Description: partial 16S ribosomal RNA
Rfam family: Bacterial small subunit ribosomal RNA
Source: RNAcentral